AUCGCUUCUCGGCCUUUUGGCUAAGNNCAAAGUGUAGUAUCUGUUCUUAUCAGCUUAAUAUCUGAUACGCCCCCUACCCGGGGGCCAUAUAUUAAAUUGAUUUUUGGAACAGGGAGUCGGAAUAGGGGCUUGCUCCGUCCACUCCACGCAUCGACUCGGUAUUGCAGUACCUCCGGGAACGGUGCACUC
Molecule: small nuclear RNA, 189 nt
Filed under: Engraulis japonicus (Japanese anchovy)
Lineage: Eukaryota; Metazoa; Chordata; Actinopteri; Clupeiformes; Engraulidae
Also listed under: 1 other name
Description: U2 snRNA
Rfam family: U2 spliceosomal RNA
About the family: U2 is a small nuclear RNA (snRNA) component of the spliceosome (involved in pre-mRNA splicing).
Source: RNAcentral